RNAcentral lists this ribosomal RNA (701 nucleotides) under uncultured bacterium. RNAcentral describes it as "bacterial SSU rRNA". It matches the Rfam family "Bacterial small subunit ribosomal RNA", at positions 91 to 810 of the family's 1533-position model. The record is from RNAcentral.
ACGACCGGCGCACGGGUGCGUAACGCGUAUGCAACCUACCUUCUACAGGGGGAUAGUCAAUAGAAAUGUUGAAUAAUACCCCAUACGAUCUUUGAAUAGCAUUAUUUAAAGAAGAAAGCUCCGGCGGUAGAAGAUGGGCAUGCGUCCUAUUAGUUAGUUGGUAAGGUAACAGCUUACCAAGACUUCGAUAGGUAGGGGUCCUGAGAGGGAGACCCCCCACACUGGUACUGAGACACGGACCAGACUCCUACGGGAGGCAGCAGUGAGGAAUAUUGGACAAUGGGGGCAACCCUGAUCCAGCGAUGCCGCGUGAGUGAUGAAGGCCUUAGGGUUGUAAAACUCUUUCGCUAGGGAAGAUAAUGACGGUACCUAGUAAAGAAGAUCCGGCUAACUCCGUGCCAGCAGCCGCGGUAAUACGGAGGGACCUAGCGUUAUUCGGAAUAACUGGGCGUAAAGCGAGCGUAGGCGGAUUUGUAAGUUGGAGGUGAAAUCCCAGGGCUUAACCCUGGAACUGCCUUCAAAACUACAUUUCUUGAGUUUGGUAGAGGAGAGUGGAAUUCCUAGUGUAGAGGUGAAAUUCGUAGAUAUUAGGAGGAACACCAGUGGCGAAGGCGACUCUCUGGGCCAAUACUGACGCUGAGGUUCGAAAGCGUGGGGAGCAAACGGGAUUAGAUACCCCGGUAGUCCACGCAGUAAACGAC